GGUUAACCGAAUAGGGGAGCCGAAGGGAAACCGAGUCUUAACUGGGCGUUAAGUUGCAGGGUAUAGACCCGAAACCCGGUGAUCUAGCCAUGGGCAGGUUGAAGGUUGGGUAACACUAACUGGAGGACCGAACCGACUAAUGUUGAAAAAUUAGCGGAUGACUUGUGGCUGGGGGUGAAAGGCCAAUCAAACCGGGAGAUAGCUGGUUCUCCCCGAAAGCUAUUUAGGUAGCGCCUCGUGAACUCAUCUUCGGGGGUAGAGCACUGUUUCGGCUAGGGGGUCAUCCCGACUUACCAACCCGAUGCAAACUGCGAAUACCGAAGAAUGUUAUCACGGGAGACACACGGCGGGUGCUAACGUCCGUCGUGAAGAGGGAAACAACCCAGACCGCCAGCUAAGGUCCCAAAGUCAUGGUUAAGUGGGAAACGAUGUGGGAAGGCACAGACAGCCAGGAUGUUGGCUUAGAAGCAGCCAUCAUUUAAAGAAAGCGUAAUAGCUCACUGGUCGAGUCGGCCUGCGCGGAAGAUGUAACGGGGCUAAACCAUGCACCGAAGCUGCGGCAGCGACACUAUGUGUUGUUGGGUAGGGGAGCGUUCUGUAAGCCGUUGAAGGUGUGUCGUGAGGCAUGCUGGAGGUAUCAGAAGUGCGAAUGCUGACAUAAGUAACGAUAAUGCGGGUGAAAAACCCGCACGCCGGAAGACCAAGGGUUCCUGUCCAACGUUAAUCGGGGCAGGGUGAGUCGACCCCUAAGGCGAGGCCGAAAGGCGUAGUCGAUGGGAAACAGGUUAAUAUUCCUGUACUUGGUGUUACUGCGAAGGGGGGACGGAGAAGGCUAUGUUAGCCGGGCGACGGUUGUCCCGGUUUAAGCAUGUAGGCGGAGGUUCCAGGUAAAUCCGGUACCUUUUAACGCUGAGGUGUGAUGACGAGGCACUACGGUGCUGAAGUAACAAAUGCCCUGCUUCCAGGAAAAGCCUCUAAGCAUCAGGUAACACGAAAUCGUACCCCAAACCGACACAGGUGGUCAGGUAGAGAAUACCAAGGCGCUUGAGAGAACUCGGGUGAAGGAACUAGGCAAAAUGGUGCCGUAACUUCGGGAGAAGGCACGCUGAUAUGUAGGUGAAGUGAUUUACUCAUGGAGCUGAAAUCAGUCGAAGAUACCAGCUGGCUGCAACUGUUUAUUAAAAACACAGCACUGUGCAAACACGAAAGUGGACGUAUACGGUGUGACGCCUGCCCGGUGCCGGAAGGUUAAUUGAUGGGGUUAUCCGUAAGGAGAAGCUCUUGAUCGAAGCCCCGGUAAACGGCGGCCGUAACUAUAACGGUCCUAAGGUAGCGAAAUUCCUUGUCGGGUAAGUUCCGACCUGCACGAAUGGCGUAAUGAUGGCCAGGCUGUCUCCACCCGAGACUCAGUGAAAUUGAACUCGCUGUGAAGAUGCAGUGUACCCGCGGCAAGACGGAAAGACCCCGUGAACCUUUACUAUAGCUUGACACUGAACACUGGUCCUUGAUGUGUAGGAUAGGUGGGAGGCUUUGAAGUGUGGACGCCAGUCUGCAUGGAGCCAUCCUUGAAAUACCACCCUUUAAUGGCUGGUGUUCUAACGUAGACCCGUAAUCCGGGUUGCGGACAGUGUCUGGUGGGUAGUUUGACUGGGGCGGUCUCCUCCUAAAGAGUAACGGAGGAGCACGAAGGUUAGCUAAUCCUGGUCGGACAUCAGGAGGUUAGUGCAAAGGCAUAAGCUAGCUUGACUGCGAGAGUGACGGCUCGAGCAGGUGCGAAAGCAGGUCUUAGUGAUCCGGUGGUUCUGAAUGGAAGGGCCAUCGCUCAACGGAUAAAAGGUACUCCGGGGAUAACAGGCUGAUACCGCCCAAGAGUUCAUAUCGACGGCGGUGUUUGGCACCUCGAUGUCGGCUCAUCACAUCCUGGGGCUGAAGUAGGUCCCAAGGGUAUGGCUGUUCGCCAUUUAAAGUGGUACGCGAGCUGGGUUUAGAACGUCGUGAGACAGUUCGGUCCCUAUCUGCCGUGGGCGCUGGAGAAUUGAGGGGGGCUGCUCCUAGUACGAGAGGACCGGAGUGGACGCAUCACUGGUGUUCGGGUUGUCAUGCCAAUGGCAUUGCCCGGUAGCUAAAUGCGGAAGAGAUAAGUGCUGAAAGCAUCUAAGCACGAAACUUGCCCCGAGAUGAGUUCUCCCUGAGACUUUAAGUCUCCUGAAGGAACGUUGAAGACGACGACGUUGAUAGGUCGGGUGUGUAAGUGUAGCGAUACAUUGAGCUAACCGAUACUAAUGAACCGUGAGGCUUAACCUU
This 2304-nucleotide ribosomal RNA is filed under the name Citrobacter sp. Cpo032. Its description in RNAcentral is "partial 23S ribosomal RNA". It matches the Rfam family "Bacterial large subunit ribosomal RNA", at positions 644 to 2925 of the family's 2925-position model. Lineage: Bacteria; Pseudomonadati; Pseudomonadota; Gammaproteobacteria; Enterobacterales; Enterobacteriaceae. The record is from RNAcentral.